GAUUGGAGGCUGGAAAAUGAAAAGAGUGGAUUUUUUUUUUUUUUUGUCCGUUGGAUUAGUGCGUUUCAACCGUUCUGACGUCCCUGCAGGAGGAGGUGGGCCGCCUGGCCGCCCUGCAGCCUCAGGUGGACCUCCUGGAGAAGAGGCUGAAGGAGCUGAAGGAGGAGAAGGAGGGGGAGGAGGACCCGUCCGCCUUCCUGGACGCAGACAUCAACGCCUUCAAGGAGCACUACCAGCAGGUCCUGGAGGACCUGCGAGCCAGGGAGAGGCAGCUGCAGCUGGUUUUGGAAAGCCUCCCCCCGGCUCGCUACAAAGAAACCAUCUCCACCCUGUUGGCAUGGUUACAGCAGUGCGAGGCCAAGCUGGCCGUGCCGUCGACGGCCGUCACCGAGUACCCGGUCAUGGAGCAGAGGCUGCAAGACGUUCAGGCUCUGCAGGAGGCUCUGUCCGAACACCAGGGCGAGGUGGACUACCUGACCUCCACCGUGGAGCAGGUCUUCCAGAAGGCUCCGCCGGACAUCAGCCAGAAGUGAUACUCGGACGCAGACGAAGGACUCGGUCCACGACGUGGGGCGGAUGUGUAAAACUUCUGCAACCUCUGCCGCAGAUAUCGGAUGGAGAUGGACGCCAUCAUGGCGCGCUGGAGACGCCUGGGCUCCACGCUGACGGACAACCCCAGAGAAUCCAGGAGCUCAUGGCCAAGCUGAUGCAGUUUGAGGUAAAGCGGAGCGCGGGCUGGGUUAAUCCGGCGGCCAGCAGCGCGUGAAGAACCUCCUCUCUGCUCCAGAACGAUGUCAAGAACGCUGAAGAAGUGGAUGGCGGACGUGGACGUCUUCCUGAACGAGGAGUGGCCGGCGCUGGGCGACUCCGAGGCCCUGGAGAAGCGCUGGAGCAGUGCACGGUGAUGAAGCCGCGGUCCGACCGCCGCCGCAGCCCUGCGCCGCACAGCGUGUUAACCCCCGCUCUCUGGUCGGCCAGGCUCUGGUGAACGACAUCCACACCAUCCAGCCCAGCGUCACGGCAUCAACGAGGUCGGCCUGUACCUGAAGAAGGAGGCGGAGCCUCCGUUCGCCGUCCACAUCCAGAAGGAGCUGGACGAGCUCAACGCCCAGUGGGAGAACGUCUGCAAGCAGGUGAGUCGGCUUCUCCGGCGCCGCCGGCGUUUCCUUUCUUCCCAGCGCUCGUCACGCCUCUCUCUCCCCCUCAGGCCUACGCCAAGAAGUCGGCGCUGAAAGGCGGCCUGGACAAGACCAUGGCUCUGAGGAAGGAGAUGCAGGAGAUGCAGGAGUGGAUCAACCAGGCGGAGGAGGACUACCUGGAGAGAGACUUCACCUACAAGACGCCCGAAGAGCUGCGCAAGGCGGUGGAGGAGCUCAAGGUGAGGCCGCUCGGCCUGAAAGGAAUGGAUGAACUCUCAGCUCUCCGUCCCUCCGCGCUCCUCCAGUAUUGUGCUAAUAUACAGAUCUGUCGCUGCG
RNAcentral lists this long non-coding RNA (1475 nucleotides) under Salarias fasciatus (jewelled blenny). RNAcentral describes it as "lncRNA (ENSSFAG00005021781.1)". Lineage: Eukaryota; Metazoa; Chordata; Actinopteri; Blenniiformes; Blenniidae. The record is from RNAcentral.